Molecule: transfer RNA, 72 nt
Filed under: Trichobilharzia regenti
Lineage: Eukaryota; Metazoa; Platyhelminthes; Trematoda; Strigeidida; Schistosomatidae
Rfam family: tRNA
About the family: Transfer RNA (tRNA) molecules are approximately 80 nucleotides in length. Their secondary structure includes four short double-helical elements and three loops (D, anti-codon, and T loops). Further hydrogen bonds mediate the characteristic L-shaped molecular structure. tRNAs have two regions of fundamental functional importance: the anti-codon, which is responsible for specific mRNA codon recognition, and the 3' end, to which the tRNAs corresponding amino acid is attached (by aminoacyl-tRNA synthetases). tRNAs cope with the degeneracy of the genetic code in two manners: having more than one tRNA (with a specific anti-codon) for a particular amino acid; and 'wobble' base-pairing, i.e. permitting non-standard base-pairing at the 3rd anti-codon position.
Source: Rfam by way of RNAcentral
GCGUCGGUAGCAUAGUAGUAGAAUGCUCACCAAGCACUCAGGUGGUCCGGGGUUCGAUUCCCGGCAGACGCA